GUUUCGUGUUAUGCAUCCUUCUACUGCUACUCCCUCAUGUUCAGAGAUCAUCGGCCACUGCUGUGACCGACCCAGUUGAAGUGAGGGCCCUGAACACAAUGCUGGGGAGAUGGGGCCAGUCAGCAUCUCUGAACUGGAAUAUAAGUGGUGAGCCAUGCAGCGGUUGGGCUAUCGAUGCUACCGACUUUCACAACUCGGCCUUCAAUCCAGCCAUCAAAUGUGACUGUAGUUUCAGCAACAAUAGAACCUGCCACAUCA
This 258-nucleotide unclassified non-coding RNA is filed under the name Hevea brasiliensis (rubber tree). The record is from RNAcentral. Lineage: Eukaryota; Viridiplantae; Streptophyta; Magnoliopsida; Malpighiales; Euphorbiaceae.